CAAGUCGAACGCGAAAGUUCCCUUCGGGGAGCGAGUAGAGUGGCGCACGGGUGAGUAACACGUGGGUAAUCUACCUUUGGAUGGGGAAUAACAACCGGAAACGGUUGCUAAUACCGCAUAAUGCAGCGGCACCUAAUGGUGACAGUUGUUAAAGCGGGGGAUCGCAAGACCUCGCGUCUAAAGAGGAGCCCGCGGCGGAUUAGCUAGUUGGUAAGGUAACGGCUUACCAAGGCGAUGAUCCGUAGCCGGCCUGAGAGGGCGGUCGGCCACACUGACACUGACAUACGGGUCAGACUCCUACGGGAGGCAGCAGUCGGGAAUUUUGGGCAAUGGGCGAAAGCCUGACCCAGCAACGCCGCGUGAAGGAUGAAAUCCUUCGGGAUGUAAACUUCGCAAGAACAGGAAGAAUAAGCCGGUGUAAAUACCACCGGCGAUGACGGUACUGUUUGUAAGCUCCGGCUAACUCCGUGCCAGCAGCCGCGGUAAUACGGGGGGAGCAAGCGUUGUUCGGAUUUACUGGGCGUAAAGGGCGCGUAGGCGGCCUCUGCAAGUCGACUGUGAAAUCUCCGGGCUUAACCCGGAAAGGUCAGCCGAUACUGCAGGGCUAGAGUGCAGAAGGGGCAACUGGAAUUCUCGGUGUAGCGGUGAAAUGCGUAGAUAUCGAGAGGAACACCUGCGGCGAAGGCGGGUUGCUGGGCUGACACUGACGCUGACAGCGCGAAAGCUAGGGGAGCGAACGGGAUUAGAUACCCCGGUAGUCCUAGCCUUAAACGAUGAAUGCUUGGUGUCUGGGGUUUUAUAGUCCCCGGGUGCCGUCGCUAACGCUUUAAGCAUUCCGCCUGGGGAGUACGGUCGCAAGACUGAAACUCAAAGGAAUUGACGGGGACCCGCACAAGCGGUGGA
Molecule: ribosomal RNA, 903 nt
Filed under: uncultured Bacillota bacterium
Lineage: Bacteria; Bacillati; Bacillota
Description: bacterial SSU rRNA
Rfam family: Bacterial small subunit ribosomal RNA
Source: RNAcentral